UACGUAGGGGGCAAGCGUUGUCCGGAAUCAUUGGGCGUAAAGCGCGUGUAGGCGGCUCGAUAAGUCCGGUGUGAAACCUUGGGGCUCAACCCCAAGCCUGCACUGGAUACUGCCGAGCUAGAGUCCGGGAGGGGAGAGCGGAAUUCCUAGUGUAGCGGUGAAAUGCGCAGAUAUUAGGAAGAACACCGGUGGCGAAGGCGGCUCUCUGGAACGGUACUGACGCUGAGACGCGAAAGCGUGGGGAGCGAACAGG
This 253-nucleotide ribosomal RNA is filed under the name uncultured bacterium. Its description in RNAcentral is "partial 16S ribosomal RNA". It matches the Rfam family "Bacterial small subunit ribosomal RNA", at positions 524 to 776 of the family's 1533-position model. The record is from RNAcentral.